GAGUAAAGUUCCUGGAAAUGAAUCUGUAAACAAAUAGCAAAUAAACCAUCAGCAGAGCUCAAUGAAUUCAAGUUUCUGGAUUUCUGUACACAGAAACACACAAAUAAAUGAGAUAAUUUUAACGAUAAUAAGCAAACUGAAAUACUUUCUUUUCUAAUUUAAAAAAAAAGAGUGCCAGUAAUCUAUUCCAUGGAUUUUACAAAACCCUCAUCGCAAACAAUAACUUGGAGAAAUACUUCAUAUUAAAAAAAGGUUCAAGUUACCAAAUAAGUUCUACCACCUGCAAAUAAUGACAUGGGAUUCAAGACAGCUAUGUAACAAUACCACCAGCAAGAAGUACCAUCAAUGAGAACACAUUUUAUUCCUUCACCUUAGUAAUGCAAAUACUGUCUAUUUAUCUUAUGUCAGGCAAAAAUAGAUACAAAGCUGGCACUUCUAAAAAAUACACCAAUUAUUAUAAAUUACAAGACAUGAGCGAACAAACCCCGGUAGGCAAAGGCACCAUAAUUGCUUUCUUCUUUGAGCUUGUCUUCACACGUUCAUACCGUGUCACUCCCAGCCCCCGUUCCCUUGACCUCUCCCUCCUCAACUUCUCUUCUGGCGAUAUAUUACUCUCAUCAAGUCCACCAUCA
RNAcentral lists this unclassified non-coding RNA (632 nucleotides) under Hevea brasiliensis (rubber tree). The record is from RNAcentral. Lineage: Eukaryota; Viridiplantae; Streptophyta; Magnoliopsida; Malpighiales; Euphorbiaceae.